CGCAGUGCGGGUGCUAUACAUGCAGUCGAACGCACAGCGAAAGGUGCUUGCACCUUUCAAGUGAGUGGCGAACGGGUGAGUAACACGUGGACAACCUGCCUCAAGGCUGGGGAUAACAUUUGGAAACAGAUGCUAAUACCGAAUGAAACUUAGUGUCGCAUGACACGAAGUUAAAAGGCGCUUUGGCGUCACCUAGAGAUGGAUCCGCGGUGCAUUAGUUAGUUGGUGGGGUAAAGGCCUACCAAGACAAUGAUGCAUAGCCGAGUUGAGAGACUGAUCGGCCACAUUGGGACUGAGACACGGCCCAAACUCCUACGGGAGGCUGCAGUAGGGAAUCUUCCACAAUGGGCGAAAGCCUGAUGGAGCAACGCCGCGUGUGUGAUGAAGGCUUUCGGGUCGUAAAGCACUGUUGUAUGGGAAGAACAGCUAGAAUAGGGAAUGAUUUUAGUUUGACGGUACCAUACCAGAAAGGGACGGCUAAAUACGUGCCAGCAGCCGCGGUAAUACGUAUGUCCCGAGCGUUAUCCGGAUUUAUUGGGCGUAAAGCGAGCGCAGACGGUUGAUUAAGUCUGAUGUGAAAGCCCGGAGCUCAACUCCGGAAUGGCAUUGGAAACUGGUUAACUUGAGUGCAGUAGAGGUAAGUGGAACUCCAUGUGUAGCGGUGGAAUGCGUAGAUAUAUGGAAGAACACCAGUGGCGAAGGCGGCUUACUGGACUGUAACUGACGUUGAGGCUCGAAAGUGUGGGUAGCAAACAGGAUUAGAUACCCUGGUAGUCCACACCGUAAACGAUGAACACUAGGUGUUAGGAGGUUUCCGCCUCUUAGUGCCGAAGCUAACGCAUUAAGUGUUCCGCCUGGGGAGUACGACCGCAAGGUUGAAACUCAAAGGAAUUGACGGGGACCCGCACAAGCGGUGGAGCAUGUGGUUUAAUUCGAAGCAACGCGAAGACCCUUACCAGGUCUUGACAUCCUUUGAAGCUUUUAGAGAUAGAAGUGUUCUCUUCGGAGACAAAGUGCCAGGUGGUGCAUGGUCGUCGUCAGCUCGUGUCGUGAGAUGUUGGGUUAAGUCCCGCAACGAGCGCAACCCUUAUUGUUAGUUGCCAGCAUUCAGAUGGGCACUCUAGCGAGACUGCCGGUGACAAACCGGAGGAAGGCGGGGACGACGUCAGAUCAUCAUGCCCCUUAUGCCCUGGGCUACACACGUGCUCCAAUGGCGUAUACAACGAGUUGCCAACCCGCGAGGGUGAGCUAAUCUCUUAAAGUACGUCUCAGUUCGGAUUGUAGUCUGCAACUCGACUCCAUGAAGUCGGAAUCGCUAGUAAUCGCGGAUCAGCACGCCGCGGUGAAUACGUUCCCGGGUCUUGUCCCCCCCGCCCGUCCCCCCAUGGGAGUUUGUAAUGCCCAAAGCCGGUGCCCUACACCUUUGGAAGGAGCCGUCUAAGCAGACAAUGGCCC
This 1455-nucleotide ribosomal RNA is filed under the name Leuconostoc mesenteroides. RNAcentral's name for it is "bacterial SSU rRNA". It matches the Rfam family "Bacterial small subunit ribosomal RNA". Lineage: Bacteria; Bacillati; Bacillota; Bacilli; Lactobacillales; Lactobacillaceae. The record is from RNAcentral.